UCUUUCUCUCUCCGCUUUAUCUUCUCAUUGCUUGUGUUCCUCCGCAGCCGCCCUCUCAUCGUGCCCCCCUCCGCUCCCACUUCCCUUUAUAUCGGCAGCCCAUGUAACGGCCAUGGAGAUCUCGGGACUCCGCUCUCUGGCGAAGCACCUCAAGACCAUGCUCUCCUCCACCUCCUCUUAUCCCUUUCCUCCUCCUCCUCCUCUCUCCUCUCCCUAUAAAGCCCUGCACCUUGGCCCUUCCCGAACCCUAAUCCCUCUCCUUCUUUCCGGCCGAAUCCGUCUCUCCGCCGUCGCCUGCCUCCUCCCCCGCCGGUGCCACCGCCAGAUCCGCCUCCCCCUCCCUGGCUUCCUCUGCCACCCGACCGUCGAUCGCUUCCCCCGGCCCUUCUCCUCCAUCUCUUCCGACCCGGUGUUCGAGCGACGGGAGGAGCGGCAGCAGCCCACAUCGUCCUGCUCCGCGGACGGCGAGUACCAGGACCACCUCUUGCAGGUCCAGCAGGAGAAGCAGAGCCGGUUCGUCCCCGUUAAGGCCUACUUCUUGUGCACCAGUAUUGAUUUGAGGAGCUUGCAGGCUCAGAAUGCGUUCAACGUUAUUCCACCUACAUCCCGCGCCACCAAUUACGUUGUCCUUCGAUACUAUGAUGUUAAGAACGACCCUCAUGUUAUGGAGUCUGGUUUUCCAAAUGAGAGUGUUUGUCACUAUAUGGUAGUUUUUCACUAUGGUUCUGUUGUUUUGUUCAAUGUCACUGACCAUGAAGCUGAUGGGUACCUGAAGAUUGUUGAAAAACAUGCAUCAGGUUUGCUACCAGAGAUGAGAAAGGAUGAUUAUGCUGUAGUCGAAAAACCAACUCUGGAGACUUGGAUGGAAGGUGGACUUGACUACAUAGUGCUUAAAACUUUGAACAUAGAUGGUAUUCGGACCAUUGGAAGUGUUCUUGGUCAAAGCAUUGCUUUGGAUUACUACAUCCGGCAAGUUGAUGGAAUGGUAGCUGAGUUCACAGGUAUCAACCGGGGUUUGGAGAAAACUGGAACCUUUACCAUGAAAAGGAAAAAGCUUUUUCAGUUAGUGGGGAAAGCAAAUUCAAAUCUGGCUGAUGUCAUUCUCAAACUUGGUCUUUUUGAGAGGUCAGAUAUUGCUUGGAAGAAUGCUAAAUAUGCACAGAUAUGGGAGUAUCUCAGGGAUGAAUAUGAGCUAACACAGAGAUUUGGAAAUCUUGAUUUUAAGUUGAAGUUUGUUGAGCACAAUAUUCGCUUCCUCCAGGAAAUUCUUCAGAAUAGGAAGUCUGUUUUCCUCGAAUGGCUAAUCAUUGUUUUGAUUGCUGUGGAGAUCCUCAUCUCUCUUUAUAACAUCUUUUUUCAUCCAACACCAGUAGUUAUCCAACAAAAAACAAACAACCAGAAAAUUUCUCAAGAAGGAUCUGUCGACUAUGAUGGCUAAAUUUGCGGAUAUGGAUUCUAUUAUAUCCAAUAGUCUUUAAUUUUUGUUAAUCUUCCUCAGAUCUUUUUGUAAAGUUGCUACAAUCUUCAGUAUUGCUACAGUCCAGAAUCUGGAGCUUCAGCUGUGAACGCAAGUGCUAUCAAAAAAAUACUAUUCAGACAAAUGAUGGUUUACUUAUUUCCAAGACUCUGAACUCUUUCUCGUAGAGCCAAGUCUCAAAAGCUUGGAUCACAGUUGAGCUUCAGCUGCAACUCAAGUGCUAUCCAGAAAAACCAAUCGGACAAUGAAGAAUUGCAAAUGGCUGUCGUUUGGAAGAUACGAAGCUUCUGGAUCACAUUUGUCUCUGUUUUCCUGUUCUACUGGUGAGAGCACAGGUGAGAGGUCUCUGUUAAGUGGUUGUUCGUACCUUCUGAGCACCCUUUAUUCUUUCCUGUGGGAGUGAUUUAAAACAAUUUCGUGUCAGCAAGUCCAGAACAAAUCACAUUAUUUGUGUAUUCUUGGCUAGGCAUUACAAUGUUCAAUUUUUAGCAUU
RNA transcript from Musa acuminata subsp. malaccensis (wild Malaysian banana), 1970 nucleotides. It is a transcript of the gene named protein RETARDED ROOT GROWTH-LIKE, with no coding region annotated. The record is from RefSeq and is a predicted model, not a curated record. Lineage: Eukaryota; Viridiplantae; Streptophyta; Magnoliopsida; Zingiberales; Musaceae.